This is a small nuclear RNA of Perognathus longimembris pacificus (Pacific pocket mouse), 104 nucleotides long. NCBI's taxonomy places the organism in Eukaryota, Metazoa, Chordata, Mammalia, Rodentia, Heteromyidae. The record is from RefSeq and is a predicted model, not a curated record.
GUGCUCACUUAAGCAGCAUAUAUACUAAAAUCAGGACGAUACAGAGAUUAGCCUGGCGCCUGUACAAGGAUGACAUGAAAAUUCAUAAAGCAUUCCAUAUUUUU